This 74-nucleotide transfer RNA is filed under the name Trichogloeopsis pedicellata. RNAcentral describes it as "tRNA-Val". It matches the Rfam family "tRNA". From Rfam's summary of the family: Transfer RNA (tRNA) molecules are approximately 80 nucleotides in length. The record is from RNAcentral. Lineage: Eukaryota; Rhodophyta; Florideophyceae; Nemaliales; Liagoraceae.
GGACAUAUAGCUCAGAUGGUUAGAGUGGCACGUUGACAUCGUGCAGGUCACUGGUUCGAUUCCAGUUAUGUCUA